Molecule: non-coding RNA, 637 nt
Filed under: Pan troglodytes (chimpanzee)
Lineage: Eukaryota; Metazoa; Chordata; Mammalia; Primates; Hominidae
Source: RNAcentral
GCAUUUGACCGCUCCUCCCUCCGCGUUGGAGGCGGAAUAGUGGGUUUUGCUGCAACCGGUUUAUUUUCCUUCUGUUUUCACCCAUUCGGGCACAAUCUGGCGCCAUCGUCCUUCUUGUGAGGCCAAGCCUGAAAAUGCGAAGCAGAGAGGCAGGACCAAAAUUGAGGCGAAUCCGGGAACCUGCCAAUGGGUCUCCGGGUGCGGUCUCUGAAACUGGAGGAUAUCGGGAGGAAAGGCUCUCCGAUGCGGAGAUAAUGGGGAAGCUCUUGGCAUGGUUGGCUGUAGGUAUGUGAUACCGGAGGAGCAGGAGUCAAAUAGGAUACGCCGACUUUUAAUUCAAGGAACCCUUUUCUGAAACACUUUGCCACAAUGAAGGAAAUAAGGUAAGGUUCUUGGGGCUCCUCAGUAGUAAUAGGGGCAGGGGACAAGGGGCAAUUAAGUGGUUUUGGUUGGGAAUGAGGCAUUAUGAAUAGCUUUCAGGAGAUAGAGCUUAGAACAAUGUCUUAGUUAUAAGUUCUUAUGUUUGAGGAAGAGAUUUCAAUUUGCUUAAAGAAGGAAACGGGCCAGUGGGUUUUUGUCUCUGAGAAGGAGAUCCUUAGCAUACAGAAAACAGAGAAGGGUUUGCAACUUUUCCGUU